Molecule: ribosomal RNA, 305 nt
Filed under: uncultured bacterium
Lineage: Bacteria
Description: bacterial SSU rRNA
Rfam family: Bacterial small subunit ribosomal RNA
Source: RNAcentral
UUCCUACGGGGGGCAGCAGUGGGGAAUAUUGGGCAAUGGGCGCAAGCCUGACCCAGCAACGCCGCGUGAAGGAAGAAGGCUUUCGGGUUGUAAACUUCUUUUAAGAGGGAAGAGAAGAAGACGGUACCUCCUGAAUAAGCCACGGCUAACUACGUGCCAGCAGCCGCGGUAAUACGUAGGUGGCAAGCGUUGUCCGGAUUUACUGGGUGUAAAGGGUGCGUAGGCGGCUUGGCAAGUCAGUAGUGAAAUCCAUGGGCUUAACCCAUGAACUGCUAUUGAAACUGUCGAGCUUGAGUGAAGUAGAG